AGACGGAGGGUGCAAACGUUGUUCGGAAUCACUGGGCAUAAAGCGCGCGUAGGCGGUCCUUUAAGUCAGUUGUGAAAUCCCUCGGCUCAACCGAGGAACUGCAACUGAUACUGGAGGACUUGAGGAUGGUAGGGGUGAGCGGAACUCCAGGUGGAGCGGUGAAAUGCGUAGAUAUCUGGAGGAACACCGGUGGCGAAAGCGGCUCACUGGACCAUCACUGACGCUGAGGUGCGAAAGCUAGGGUAGCAAACGGGAUUAGAACCCCCAGUAGUCC
This 274-nucleotide ribosomal RNA is filed under the name uncultured bacterium. RNAcentral describes it as "partial 16S ribosomal RNA". It matches the Rfam family "Bacterial small subunit ribosomal RNA", at positions 523 to 796 of the family's 1533-position model. The record is from RNAcentral.